RNAcentral lists this long non-coding RNA (720 nucleotides) under Nicotiana benthamiana. RNAcentral's name for it is "long non-coding RNA (NBEN_LNC013859)". Lineage: Eukaryota; Viridiplantae; Streptophyta; Magnoliopsida; Solanales; Solanaceae. The record is from RNAcentral.
UCAACCCUUUCUCUUCUCCCUCAAUUAUCUUUCUUUUUUCCUCUAUCUUGGCAAGGUUGUCGUCUUCUCCGGCGACUUAUCGUCAUGGCCAAAUCUGUUCAAAUUUUCGGCUACUUUGCUUCAGAUUUUCUUCUUUUCCGACGACUCUGCUUCAGAUUUUCAAAAGUUCAAUCCGUAGCCAUAGCCAAAUCUAUUAUCCUACUCCUUCUUGGCUUCCACCAUCGGGAGUCUACCAUCUCCAUCACGCCUCCGACUCUUACUUCAAUAGAGAAAAUAGAUCUGAACUUUCUGGCACGGAUGAAUUUAGAUCUAGCUCUAGGAGCUCGGUGAAGAGAAUAGAUCUAAAAUUUUUCGAUAUGGAUCCAUGGCUUCUUCUCUUUCUUCGUAUCUCACAUAUGAGUGAUUCGUCUUAUCAGAUUUUGGUAGAUACAAUGUGAUAGUGUAUUCUCUGAUCCAGCCGGAUUUUUGUUCAUCUUCAUUUUUAUUUUCAUAUAAUAUAUAUAAUAUUUGCUUGGCUGGAAGAUGCAAUCUCCAACAAAGUUUUUUCUCUUCUUUGCUAUUGAGUCAAAUAGAAUGAUACAAUCACAUUGUAUUCUGUACAAAUACAUUCCAAUACAUUAUAUCCAGUAAUUAAAGAUACAUUAUAUCUUCGCCUGUAUUUAUGUAUUUCGAAGGUUAUUUUUGUGGCAUAUCCUUGUAUUUAUUAAAGUUUGUUGUUUG